Molecule: small nucleolar RNA, 91 nt
Filed under: Clohesyomyces aquaticus
Lineage: Eukaryota; Fungi; Ascomycota; Dothideomycetes; Pleosporales; Lindgomycetaceae
Description: A. fumigatus snoRNA Afu_190
Rfam family: A. fumigatus snoRNA Afu_190
Source: Rfam by way of RNAcentral
GAGUGAUGAAACACCAGCUGGCACCAGGCCUAGAAGACUUGUACUCUUUACAUGCGGAACAGCUUGCGGAGCACAGACUCCUUCCUCUGAC